Lolium rigidum is the source of this 916-nucleotide long non-coding RNA. RefSeq lists it as uncharacterized. The record is from RefSeq and is a predicted model, not a curated record. The transcript has 3 exons. NCBI's taxonomy places the organism in Eukaryota, Viridiplantae, Streptophyta, Magnoliopsida, Poales, Poaceae.
CUGCUGCUCCAUCCAACUUGGUCGGGCUGCUGCAGCUCCAACCCGUGAAAAACAAGGAGGUUGAGAGGAUCUACGUGACAAUCAGACCUAGCAGUGCUCAACUUUUUAUUCACUUCUUGUCUUCUCGGCUGUUUUUUCUGUUUGUUUUGGUUCAGAUCAAAGCAAUAGUGACACUUCUGCAUAUAUAGAUUGAAGUGAUUAUUUUUUUGCUUCGAUAAGUUCUUCUUGCUGAAGCGAAUAAAGCUUCAUCAGUGCCCAUGAACUAGGAGCUGAUCGGCUUCUAAAGAGGCAUCAAACAUUAAAAGCAAUACAAUUUUCCCUUUGCCUGUCGAGAUUUGAACGCCUGCUAUGCAAUCUGCACAUUGUAUGGUUAAGCAAACUUAAUUGAUCUGAUUUUGUUCCUCUUGAUGGCCUUUUCAAAGUAUAAUUUUGUCCUGGCAGGAGACAAAUCCUUAACACGUGAAUUAUUUAAGAGGUAUUAUAAGACACCAAAUUUCGAGCAAAAUCGAGAUGUUAGACUUGAAGAUGUCGAUACUGCAUUCAGUGGGUGCCUUUUUUCCUAUUGUCAUUGAACUACAUCAUGGUAUCCCCAACAUUAUUCUAUUAUUGAUGUCUUCGUCCAGAUUAUGACAUGAUUUCUGCUCUUAGAGAUGAUAGGUUAGAUCCUUCUGUUGUACCAGGCAAUUGGGAUGUCAAGCAAUAUGUUUUUACUUCGAACUACAUUUGUCUGUAUAUACCCUUUUGUUGUUUCAGUUUCAUGCAGAUGAUAUAUGUGGACAAAUGGACUGGCAUGGUAUGGAACAACUGCCUAUUUUCUGUGGCUGGAGAAUACAAAUACAGUAAUAAUUCUUUUGCUCUGAUCAUUUAGUCAUAAUGGAUAAAAUAGCUUACUCUUAGCCUUGCUAGAUGUAAUGCA